UUCAAAUAGAUCUCGAAGCCACGAAUGUCUAGGCAAAAGCCGUUUACAAAUCCGAGUUUUAACUGUAUAAUUACAGACAUUUGAAAUCGUUUGCUAGACUAUAGUUUUUAAUUAAAUAAUUUCCCACUUUGUGAGAGAGAGGCCCAAUCAUGUAAGGGUUAGGGCGGACCAAUCAGAUAAAAAAAGAAAAAAAAAAGAAAAGAAAAGGGAACGGAUGGCAGGGGGGAGGAGGCAGGAAAAAGGGGGUUGCGAAGGAGAGUAGGGGGGAGAAUGUUCUUUCACGUUCUUCCUGGCAUUGCAAGGAAAGGAAAAGAAAUAGGGAGGAGGUGGCUCUUCCAUAGCCGUUGGAAGAGAAUCCUUCGUUCUUCAGGCAAAACUCGGAGAGAAAGGAGUUAGAGAACGUGAUGGCGAAGGAAGGAUUCAGAGAUUUGAAGGGUAAAUUCCUUGUUACUUCAUUAUCUUGAUUUUUUGAAUUUAACUUUCUUAAGUUGAAUUGUAAUUGCCAUGAUAUAUUGGAGUUCUUGGUUCUAUUUAGGGUUUCUAUCAUUCAAUGAACUAGUCUAAACAUGAAUUAGAGUUGGGUAAUUCGGAUUGGGUGUGUAGAUCAAAUUUCUUGAUCAAGGGUUUGGUUCAAAAGGUCAAUUUCUUGUUAAUUUUGAGUCAUGUUAGUUUUGGAUGUUGUAUACAUGACUUCUGGACUACCUGGAAGUAUUUUGGAAUUUGUUAUAUGAAUUGGAAGUGGGCUGUUACAUAAGUUGCAGAAAAUUGAUUUCUUUGCAAAGAAAACUCAAGUUUCGAGUAGCCUUCUUUGGCUCUUAAUUUCUAGGCCUUUAUGUGCUCCUUUGGAGAAAAAUUUUAGUGUGUUGAAAGUACAUAUGCUCAUGAUCGUAACCCAAUUGAUUUCACUCAAUUUCGUUGAGUUUUGGUUGAUCAAAACCUUCUUUAAAGUUGGGUCGCGCGCUGCCAAACAGCAGCAGAAAAUUGGGUUUCCAGUUUCAAGACUUCGUUUUUCCUUUUGACAUAACUUCCAAUUUAGAGCUCCGUUUUCUACAAACUUUGUAUGCUUUUAAAGUACAGAACACAAGCUUCAAAACCCAUAUAAUAUUACAUGAUUUGGUUUAGUUUGGAAUGUUCCAAAGGGAGCCUAAACUUGGUCUAAUAGUGCUGUUUUCUGCAGAUCUUGUGGAGAAGCAGAGUACUUUUUUUGCCACACCUAUUUUCUUUUCCAGAUUCCUUUCUAAUCUUCUUUACUACUAAUUGAGUGAUAUUAUUUGAGUGGUAGAUUCCAUAAUUAGUGUACUUUCUUCAGAUAAUAUUAAUUAUGUUCCUUUAAAGAGCCUAAUCGGAACACAAAAGUACAAUCAAGAGUAUAAAUACAAGUAGCACACAUUACUAACCAAACUAAGCUAUUAAAAUGUGAUUCUUUUAUAAUUAGUCAUCGAUCUAUUUUUAUUAAAUGUGGUUUGAUUCAUGGAUGGGUAAUAUUUGUGGAAAAGUGAUUCGAAUUGCAUAUUGAAAUGUGAAUUAUAUAUACAUACGCCAUAGACCGAUGUUAAUUAAAUGUGAAUUCUAUUGAAGUGUUAUUUUAUUUUUGGCCAUUGAUCUAUUUUCAGUAAGUGUGAUUUGACUUGUGCAUUGGAAAUAUGGUUUGUAUUGUAUGAUUGGAUUGAUGUGAUGAAAUGCAAGAGCUAGUAGUGGAUCAUUAAUCCAUUGUUACGGGGUUUGUUGCUUCGAAACAUGUUUCAACCCUCGUUUCAUUAUUCAUUCUCGUUUCGUUGAGUCUUUGUACCUUGAGUAACUUGAUCCAUGUCUUGUUUUAUCGAUUGGUGUUACACAUUCUACUCUGCGAUUCCGUUGAGUGAUGGUCCGGAAUCGUAUCCUUGUUUGGAUUCCGUUGAGUGAUGGUCCGGAAUCCCUUCUACUCCGCGAUUCCGUUGAAUGAUGGUCCAGAAUCAUAUCCUGAUUUGGAUUCUGUUGAGUGAUGGUCUGGAAUCGUAUCCUGGUUUGGAUUCCGUUGAGUGAUGGUCCAGAAUCCUUUCUACUCUGCGAUUCCGUUGAGUGGUGGUCUGGAAUCCUUGCUCUUGCUCAUUCUCAUAAGAUUAUCUUAGAAUCCUAGAUUCGAGUGAAUGGGAAUUACCCACAAUGGAUCUUGUGAAUACAAAUUAUAAUCACCAUGUUAUUAUUCAUAACCCAAGUAGGGAAUUAUGUAGAGUUCUUUAAUUAAAUUUGUGAAAUGAUCUAUUAUCUCACUGAUUGAUUAACGUAAUUAAAUAUUAAUAUUGUGCUUCGUGAUUCCUUGAUAUGUUACAAGCUAUGGAUUGAGAUAUACUGUUGGAAGCAUAGUGAUUGGUAUGAUGAAGUGAAAUGUGAUUUGACUUGGGUAUUGGAAAUGGUUGUGACAUGUGAUUGUAAUGCAUAUUGAAUUGCUUGGGAGAUGUGAGGUGUAAUAAUGGACCGAUAACCCAUUGUGAUGUGGAUUUGUUGCAAGAUACAAUUUCGUUUCGUUGAGUUUUCAUGAAUUGAGUAACUUGAAUCAUGUCUUGUUCCUUUGAGCCGUUGUUAUGCUUCAUGGACUUCCGUUCAGUUCUGUUGAGUGGUCCGGAACUAAGUUCUACUUGGAUUCCGUUGAGUGAUGGUCCGGAAUCCUUUCUACUCCGUGAUUCAGUUGAGUGAUGGUCCGGAAUCAUAUCCUGAUUUGGAUUCCAUUGAGUGAUGGUCCAGAAUCCCCUUUGGUGCCUUGGUUUCGUUAGGUGGUCCAAAAUUCCCUUUUCCAAAGAUGUAGUCUUCGGCCAAACUAUGUCGCUCUAGCCCACGCAUUUCGACGUGUUGUAUGUUUUAUUGAUGAUGUGAUUAUGGAAUGAUGUUGGUUAUGGUAAUUAUGAUUAGACUCGUUGAACUUUAUGACUAGUGAAUAUGAUUGUGCUCCGUUGUUUGUCCCUUGUAAUAUUGUAUGUUAUGCAUUGUGAUAUAUUGUUGAGAUAUAGCGAUUUAAUUGAUGAAUAUUCGAGUAUAGUGAAAUGGUGAACUACGAAUGGCUUGAUCCCUAUUGAGGGUACGUAGGCAGUCUAAUGAGGAGGUUAGAUGCAGCCAUAAAGUAUACAAAAAUUUCUACGCGAUUUGGAUCUUGAAUUAUGCUAUGUACAUAUUCCGAAGGCGGGGUAUGUUCGAGAUAUAGAUAUUUGGUGACAUCACGUGUCGAUUUUGGUAGUAUGUUAGGAUCGGGACGUGACAUUCCUCCCUCUAAAAAGACCUUCAAGGUUAAUAACUCAUCAAUUUGUAAGUGUUAUUUUUGCAAAAAGACAGGUGACAUGAAGAGAAACUAUCCUAAAUACAAGUCAUGGCUUGCCAAACAAGAGGCAAAGAAAGUUCUUCUAUUCACGUUACUAAUUCAUUGCAAGACUUCAUAACAAAGAGAACACUAAAUAAGGAUGAAGUCAAGGUUUCAGUUGGCAAUGGAAGAAGAGUUGAAGUCAAGACACUAGGGACUGUUAGAUUAAAAUUAGAUUUUGGUUUUUGCUUGGAGCUAGAAAAUGUUGUCUAUAUGUACCUUCCAUGAGAAGGAAUUGGUUUCUAUUUCUAAGUUAGUACUAUUGGGAUUUUAUUUUGCUUUAAAUAAUAUUGGCUUAGAAGGAA
Long non-coding RNA from Pyrus x bretschneideri (Chinese white pear), 3633 nucleotides. RefSeq lists it as uncharacterized. Lineage: Eukaryota; Viridiplantae; Streptophyta; Magnoliopsida; Rosales; Rosaceae. The transcript has 2 exons. The record is from RefSeq and is a predicted model, not a curated record.